ACAUGGGCAACUCUUGGGAUCACUAGGCAUUCAUGAGAGCCCAUUACUAUGUGAUAGUGGGUAAGUUAAUGUGUGCCUUAAUGUGUGAGUUAGUAUAGGCUAGAUUCAAUAUAUUUAGGAGCCUAUAAGUAAGAGGUGGCUAAGGCCAAAGGAGAGAGAGAGGAAGAAAGGUAGUGACACAAGAGGAGUUAUGUAUUGUAGUCCUAUUUUUCUAAGUAGUGGAGUGUUUAGUUUUUUAGGAACCUUUAGCUUUCUCAUCUCUCCUUUUUGCAUACUUAGUCGUAGGGUGUGGAGAUCCAGGCUAGUAAUAAGAAACUAGACUUAUUCAUUUUCGAGCAGGAAAGCGGGCGCCGCACGAGAUUUGUGAACAAAAACGCUAAGGUUGUGACAGUAUGGACACCCUAGAUGAGUGCUUUUUUUUUGUGUUGGGGAGGGGGGGCGUUUGGGAAUUAUUCACGAAUAAUAAAAAAAUACGAGUUAUUUUAAAUUUUUUUUAAAGAAAUAUGUAUACGAACUAUUUUAUUCGUUGUUCAAAAAUUCAUGAAUUAUUCACGAAUUAACUAACAAAGAAUUA
Molecule: long non-coding RNA, 574 nt
Filed under: Ananas comosus (pineapple)
Lineage: Eukaryota; Viridiplantae; Streptophyta; Magnoliopsida; Poales; Bromeliaceae
Description: long non-coding RNA (ACOM_LNC007355)
Source: RNAcentral